UUUUUCCUAUAAAUGAUCUCUAAAAUGGCAAAUGGUUAUAUCCCGUUGUUUUCAGUUAGGUUCUUCCUGUUGCUGGGGCAGAAAUCUUUUGAUGGUUACUGAACAAUACAUGAUUGUUGAGCAUCUCUCUACAACUUGUUAGCACACCAUGUCAAAAUUUUUCUCACCAACUUUUCAGGCCCACAGUUGUCACAUUGUAUAGUUCUUGUGUUUUUAACCAGUUUUUUUUUAUCACCCUGUCCUCUCAUUAUAUUUACAUAUUUCUGUUACACAUAACCUGGGAUUAAUUUCAUUGAGUUUUAGAUGUCUACAUCCAGAGUGACAGAGCUAACCUCUCCUAGUUAUUGAAAAGCAAGCUCUGCAAUUGCAAUAAUCUGUUAUGAAUAAGACAGCUAUAGCUGAUCUGAUUUUAAUUCAGAGAAUGGAGUAGAUAACCUCUGUAAUUUCUCUCUGCUUUCAUCCACUGUAAUUCAAUACCAGUGCAAGAUGAUCAAACUUGUCAGAUUUUGAAUCUGAACAGCAACAGAAUUUGGGAUAGUGCAGGAGAAAAAAAUUAACACAAGUUUUCAGGUAAGGCAAGGUUCUAAUGGAUUAUUUUCUUAUUAAAGUACUUAAAUAUUGACUAGUGUAGGCAUCUAUCUCUCAGGAUAUGGUUCAGUGACUUUGUUUUAUAUAGUGGACAAUGAUAGGAAUUUACACUAAUACUAGUUGUAAGUGUAUUUGCAAAAGAUUGAACAAGUCCCUAACUUGUGCAGAUUCAUGUCUUAGGAAAAUUAUAGACAAAGAUUUAUUGUAAACAAUGAUAAACUGAUGUUGGAUGCAUGAUUUUUUACAAGUCUAUGAUCAGUUCUAUCUAAACUAGACUAUUCUCCUGUGCAGAAUAAUAUACUAUGUCAUUAAAACUGGUUUAUGUACUCAAAUAGAAAGUGGCCUUUUACAAAUAAAUAAUUUGUAAUUCAUUGCUGCUGCCCAAAAUUAAAAUUAAAAAGCAUUGCCCAGAGACUUGAGCAUAAAAAAAACUUCAUAUAAGUAAUUGUGCUGGUCUUCCUUUUUUUCUCCCCUUUUAUGAUUUCAAUUUGGUAUAAACUUGCCUUCUGCCUUGUUAUCUACAUCUGUGGUUUUGCUUUCAGGUGUGAUCCACUGAGCUCUGGAAAGCUUAAUUAUUCUACAAGUGGACAAUGCCGGUCUUCUCCAAGCAACUGCAGACUCAGCCGUUAUCACUCACCAGAGGUUGAAUUGAGGUUGCCUGAGGAUGGAAUCACAAUCUGACCCAAAGGCUUUUUUGGUUAUGGAAAACAUGUUUUAUGAAGUGAAAGCUUUGUGAAAAUAACUUAUUCUGCCCAGAUAGAAUGUUAAGGGUCAUUUCCCGUUGCUCUGACAGG
Taeniopygia guttata (zebra finch) is the source of this 1382-nucleotide non-coding RNA. The record is from RefSeq and is a predicted model, not a curated record. Lineage: Eukaryota; Metazoa; Chordata; Aves; Passeriformes; Estrildidae.